Molecule: ribosomal RNA, 492 nt
Filed under: uncultured bacterium
Lineage: Bacteria
Description: partial 16S ribosomal RNA
Rfam family: Bacterial small subunit ribosomal RNA
Source: RNAcentral
AGUGAACGCUGGCGGUAGGCCUAACACAUGCAAGUCGAACGGCAGCACAGUAAGAGCUUGCUCUUACGGGUGGCGAGUGGCGGACGGGUGAGGAAUACAUCGGACUCUACUUUUUCGUGGGGGAUAACGUAGGGAAACUUACGCUAAUACCGCAUACGACCUACGGGUGAAAGCAGGGGAUCUUCGGACCUUGCGCGAUUGAAUUAGCCGAUGUCGGACUAGCUAGUUGGCGGGGUAAAGGCCCACCAAGGCGACGAUCCGUAGCUGGUCUGAGAGGAUGAUCGGCCACACUGGAACGGAGACACGGACCAGACUCCUACGAGAGGGAGCAGUCGGGAAUAUUGGGCAAUGGGCGCAAGCCUGAUCCAGCCAGACCGCGUGGGUGAAGAAGGCCUUCGGGUUGUAAAGCCCUUUUGUUGGGAAAGAACAGCAGCAGGUUAAUACCCCGCUGUUCUGACGGUACCCAAAGAAUAAGCACCGGCUAACUUCGUG